GAUUGAACGCUGCGGCAUGCCUAACACAUGCAAGUCGAACGGGAGUAGCAAUACUCUAGUKGCGGACGGGUGAGGAAUACGUAGGAAUUUGCCCUUAAGUGGGGGAUAACCCGGGGAAACCCGGAUUAAUACCGCAUGAUCUCGAAAGAGCAAAGUGGGGGAUCGCAAGACCUCACGCUUUUGGAGAAGCCUACGUCGGAUUAGCUAGUUGGUGAGGUAAUGGCUCACCAAGGCGACGAUCCGUAACUGGUCUGAGAGGAUGAUCAGUCACACCGGAACUGAGACACGGUCCGGACUCCUACGGGAGGCAGCAGUGGGGAAUAUUGGACAAUGGGCGAAAGCUGAUCCAGCAAUGCCGCGUGUGUGAAGAAGGCCUUCGGGUUGUNAAGCACUUUAAGUUGGGAAGAAAAAACUCGCUCUAACACAGUGAGUCUUGACGGUA
This 442-nucleotide ribosomal RNA is filed under the name uncultured rape rhizosphere bacterium wr0047. Its description in RNAcentral is "bacterial SSU rRNA". It matches the Rfam family "Bacterial small subunit ribosomal RNA", at positions 27 to 477 of the family's 1533-position model. The record is from RNAcentral.